Molecule: ribosomal RNA, 426 nt
Filed under: uncultured bacterium
Lineage: Bacteria
Description: partial 16S ribosomal RNA
Rfam family: Bacterial small subunit ribosomal RNA
Source: RNAcentral
GUGAGGAAUUUUCCGCAAUGGGCGAAAGCCUGACGGAGCAAUGCCGCGUGAAGGAUGAAGGCCUAUGGGUUGUAAACUUCUUUUCUCAGAAAAGAAUUAUGACGGUAUCUGAGGAAUAAGCACCGGCUAACUCCGUGCCAGCAGCCGCGGUAAUACGGAGGGUGCAAGCGUUAUCCGGAUUCACUGGGUUUAAAGGGUGCGUAGGCGGUUUUAUAAGUCAGUGGUGAAAUCAACGGGCUCAACCUGUUAACUGCCAUUGAUACUGUAGGACUUGAAUAUGAGAGAGGUAGGCGGAAUGUUGCAUGUAGCGGUGAAAUGCUUAGAUAUGCUACGGAAUACCGAUUGCGAAGGCAGCUUACUAUUUCAUGAUUGACGCUGAGGCACGAAAGCGUGGGUAGCGAACAGGAUUAGAAACCCGGGUAGUCC